UACGGAGGGUGCUAGCGUUGUUCGGAAUUACUGGGCGUAAAGCGCGCGUAGGCGGGCUGUUAAGUCGGGGGUGAAAUCCCGGGGCUCAACCCCGGAACUGCCUUCGAUACUGGCAGCCUAGAGGACGGCAGAGGCUAGUGGAAUUGCCGGUGUAGAGGUGAAAUUCGUAGAUAUUCGCCGGAACACCAGUGGCGAAGGCGGCCUUCUGGGCGGUGUCUGACGCUCAGACGCGAAAGCGUGGGGAGCAAACAGG
Molecule: ribosomal RNA, 253 nt
Filed under: uncultured bacterium
Lineage: Bacteria
Description: partial 16S ribosomal RNA
Rfam family: Bacterial small subunit ribosomal RNA
Source: RNAcentral